UUUUUUUUUUUUUUUUUUGCACACAGACAUCCAAUUAAAUAAUACAUGAUUUGCUGAGAAGACCAUCUUAUCUCCAUUGAAUUGUGCUUCACCUUAAUGGAAAAUCAGUUGAACAUCUUUGUGUUGAUCUAUUUCUGGGCUCACUACACCACUGAUUUAUGCCUCUAUAUGUCCUUUGGCAAUGCCACAGUAUGGAUUACUGUAGCUUUAUGGUCAGUCUUAAAAUAGGCUAAUAUUGAGUCCUCUAACUUCUUUCUCAGAAUUGUUUUGGAUAUUUUAGGUUUUUUUUUUCUUUCCACAUACAUUUAAAAUCAGCUUGUCUAUGCCUACAAAAGAUAUUUCUGUUGACCAGGAUUGUGCUCAACCCAUAGAUCAAAUCAGAACACAGUCAAGUUUUUCAAUUCAUGAAGUUUUCAAAAUUUCACAGUCAAGUUUUUCAUAUACUGAGGCACAGUAUAACUCUCCACUUAAUUAGAUCUUUGAUUUUUUUCAACAGCAUUUUGUAGUUUUCUGCAAACAGACUUCCAUAUAUUUUACUACACUUACACCUAAGUAUUUCAUUUAUUGGUGCUAUUAUAAAUGGUAUUAUUUUUCUUAAAUUUCAAAUUUCAAUUGGCUGUUGAAUUCAGUAUAUAGAAAAGUGGUGAUGUUUGGAUAUUGAAUUUAUGUGCUGUAACUCUGCCAAAUUAAUUUGUUAAUCCUAAGAAUAUUUUUGCAGCUUCUCUAGAGUUUUUUACAUAGACAGUGAUGUUAUAUACAAUUAAGAUACUUUAUUUCACACUGAGCCACAUUAUAAUCAAACUGUUGAAAGCCAAAGCACAGAGCUAAUCUUGAAAGUAGCAAAUGAAAAGUAACUCAUCAAAUGCAAGGGAUUCUCAGCAAGAUUAUCAAGAGAAUUCUUGGCAGAAAUAUCACAUGCUGAGAGAAAUCUACAGUUGUAAACACAUUUAAAAAAGAAGAAAGAUCUCAGAUCAAAAAUGUAACCUUAAACUUUAAUAAGAAAAAAAAAUUCAAGCCUAAAAGGUACAAAACAAUAAGAAUUAGCAUCAAGAUAAACAAAACAGAUUUUAGAAAAACAAUAGAAAAAAACAAGAUCAAAAGUUUGCUCUUUGCAAAGGUCCAGAAAAUUGAUAAUCUUUCUUUAGUUAGGCUAUUAAGAAAAAAAGAAAAAACCCAAAUAACUAAAAUCGGAAAUAGAAGAUGGAAAACUACUGAUAAUUUACAAAAAUAAAAAAGAUUACAAGAAAGCACUAUGAACAAUCAUAUGCCAACAAAUUGGAUAACUUAGAUAAAAUUAAUAAAUUCUCAGAAAUAUAUAACCUACCAAGACUAAAACAAGGAGAAACAGAAAAAUUUUUUAAAGGAUUUUAUUUAUUUAUUCAUGAGAGACAGACAGAGAGAGAGAGAGAGAGAGAGAGGCAGAGACACAGGCAGAAGAAGCAGGCUCCAUGCAGGGAGCCCGAUGUGGGACUCAAUCCUGGGACUCCAGGAUCAUGCACUGAGCUGAGGGCAGAUGCUUAAUCACUGAGCUACCCAGGCACCCCAAUAAACAGAAAAUCUUAAUUGUCCUAAUACUAGUAAGUGUAUGAAAUCAGUAAUCAAAAACCACUCAAAAAAGAAAAUCCUAGGACCAGAUGAAUUCAUUAAUAAAUUCUAUCAAUUCUAUCAUUUGAAGAAGACUUGACAUCAAUUUUUCUCAAUCUUUUCCAAAGAAGUGAAGAUGGAAAAUCUGAAGUUCUCCUAUUAGGCCAGCAUUACUCUGAUACAAAACAUAGGAAAAGACAUUACAAGAAAAUCUAUACACCAUAUCACUCAGGAAUAUUGACGUGAAACUACUCAACAAAACACUAGCCAACAGAAUUCAAUGGCAUAUUAAAAGGAUUAUACACUGACCAAGAGUAAUUGAUUCCUGUAAUACAAGGAUAAUUCAACAUAUGAAAAUUAAUCAAUAUAACACAUUAACAUAAUAAAAGAAUAUGAUCAUCUAACUUGGUGAAGAAAAAACAUUUGACAAAAUUCAAUACUCCUGCCAAGAAAAAAACAACAACAUCUAGGAAGAAAAACCUCAAAAUAAUAAAAGCUAUCUAUGAAAUAUCCACAGCUAACAUUGUAUUAGACAUGGACUGAAAAAUUUUCCUACAAGAUCAGGAAUAAGACAAGGGUAGCUGCUUAUGCAACUAUUACUCAACACAAUAUUCGAAGCCCUAGCAAGAGCAAUUGGGCAAUAAAAAACAGCCAAUUUGGAAAGGAAGAAGCAAAAUUACCUCGGUUCAGAUGACAUGAUCUUAAAUCUAGAAAACUCUAAUGAUCACACACACACACACACACACACACACUCUAUGAGAAUAAAUGAAUUUAAAGAAGUUGUAGGAUACAAAAAUCAAUAAUAAAAAAUCAGUUGUCUUCCUAAAUGUUAGUAAUUAAAAAUCAGAAAAUAAAAAUAAAAAAAUAAUUUAUGGUAGAAUUUAGAAGGAUAAAGCACUAAGAAAUAAAUGUAACUAAAGAGGUCAAAGACUUGUACAUUUAAAACUAUAAAACAUUGCUGAAUUAAGGUACAAAUACAAAUAAAAACAUCUGUGUUCAAAGAAUGGAAGACUGAAAAUUGUUAAGAUGUCAAAACUACCCAAAGCAGACAGAUUUAAUGUAGUCCUGAUCAAAAUCCCAAAGACAAUUUAAAAAAAAAGAAAAACAGAAAAUCCUAUUAUAAAAUUCAUAGGCAUCUCCUGAGACCCUAAAGACAGAACGAUCUUGAAAAAGAACAAAACUGAAGUCUCAUACUACCUUAUUUCAAAACUUACUACCUGAAGAAUUCCUGGGUGAUGAGAC
Molecule: long non-coding RNA, 2826 nt
Filed under: Canis lupus familiaris (dog)
Lineage: Eukaryota; Metazoa; Chordata; Mammalia; Carnivora; Canidae
Description: lncRNA (ENSCAFG00845016909.1)
Source: RNAcentral